Molecule: ribosomal RNA, 246 nt
Filed under: Triticum aestivum (bread wheat)
Lineage: Eukaryota; Viridiplantae; Streptophyta; Magnoliopsida; Poales; Poaceae
Description: partial small subunit ribosomal RNA
Source: RNAcentral
AUGGAUCCAAACCUCAAAAUUAUCUUCUGGAACAUAAGAGGUCUUAAUUCUCGCGUGAAACGUUCAGCAGUUCGUAGCGUCAUUUCCUCGGCUGCCCCGCACAUCGUCUGUCUCCAGCGGACGAAGCUUGCUGACGUACUGGCCUCCCUGGUCCUCGAAACCCUUGCGCAUCCUUUCUGGACUUCUUCUUCCUUCCUGUUGACGGCACCCGUGGUGGCAUUCUGCUUGCAUGGUGUAGCGAGCUGA